AGAACGAACGCUGGCGGCAUGCCUAACACAUGCAAGUCGAACGAGACCUUCGGGUCUAGUGGCGCACGGGUGCGUAACGCGUGGGAACCUGCCUUUAGGUUCGGAAUAACUCAGAGAAAUUUGAGCUAAUACCGGAUAAUGUCUUCGGACCAAAGAUUUAUCGCCUUUAGAUGGGCCCGCGUAGGAUUAGCUUGUUGGUGGGGUAAUGGCCUACCAAGGCGACGAUCCUUAGCUGGUCUGAGAGGAUGAUCAGCCACACUGGGACUGAGACACGGCCCAGACUCCUACGGGAGGCAGCAGUGGGGAAUAUUGGACAAUGGGCGAAAGCCUGAUCCAGCAAUGCCGCGUGAGUGAUGAAGGCCUUAGGGUUGUAAAGCUCGUUUACCCGGAUGAUAAUGACAGUACCGGAGAAUAAGCUCCGGACUAACUCCGUGCCAGCAGCCGA
RNAcentral lists this ribosomal RNA (445 nucleotides) under uncultured soil bacterium. RNAcentral's name for it is "bacterial SSU rRNA". It matches the Rfam family "Bacterial small subunit ribosomal RNA", at positions 26 to 518 of the family's 1533-position model. The record is from RNAcentral.